AGAUCAUUGUGGGGGCAACUCCUCAACAAACCCUUGUACCUUUCCCAUGCUUCAUAGAGUGACUCUCCCAUUUUUUGUUCAAAAUUUGCAAUGGCUUUCUUCAAUUU
This is a small nucleolar RNA of Lactuca sativa (garden lettuce), 107 nucleotides long. Lineage: Eukaryota; Viridiplantae; Streptophyta; Magnoliopsida; Asterales; Asteraceae. The record is from RefSeq and is a predicted model, not a curated record.